UACGUAGGGUGCGAGCGUUGUCCGGAAUUACUGGGCGUAAAGAGCUCGUAGGUGGUUUGUCGCGUUGUUCGUGAAAACUCACAGCUUAAAUGUGGGCGUGCGGGCGAUACGGGCAGACUGGAGUACUGCAGGGGAGACUGGAAUUCCUGGUGUAGCGGUGGAAUGCGCAGAUAUCAGGAGGAACACCGGUGGCGAAGGCGGGUCUCUGGGCAGUAACUGACGCUGAGGAGCGAAAGCGUGGGGAGCGAACAGG
This 253-nucleotide ribosomal RNA is filed under the name uncultured bacterium. RNAcentral's name for it is "partial 16S ribosomal RNA". It matches the Rfam family "Bacterial small subunit ribosomal RNA", at positions 524 to 776 of the family's 1533-position model. The record is from RNAcentral.